RNAcentral lists this transfer RNA (70 nucleotides) under Dipodomys ordii (Ord's kangaroo rat). It matches the Rfam family "tRNA". From Rfam's summary of the family: Transfer RNA (tRNA) molecules are approximately 80 nucleotides in length. Their secondary structure includes four short double-helical elements and three loops (D, anti-codon, and T loops). The record is from Rfam by way of RNAcentral. Lineage: Eukaryota; Metazoa; Chordata; Mammalia; Rodentia; Heteromyidae.
GGUCUAACUUGAGUAGUAAACUAUUUGCCUAGCAAGCAUAAGGCCCUGAGUUCAAAUCUCAGUUACAUCA